Molecule: long non-coding RNA, 1610 nt
Filed under: Xyrichtys novacula (pearly razorfish)
Lineage: Eukaryota; Metazoa; Chordata; Actinopteri; Labriformes; Labridae
Source: RNAcentral
AGUCUCUUUGCUAAAGAAAUUAGUCAAAGUUAAAAAGUUGUUUGGUAGCCAGUACUAUGGCUGUGACCCUGUAUGUCCUGUUGAUGAAGUUAGGUGCUGUUCUGAGCAUUAUUUGUGGCUAUAGAGUGGCGUUUUGGUUGAGCGCGUGGCUCCUGGGACCGCUGUGUAUUGCUAUCCUGCCGUUGUUACUAAAGUUGGAAUAACUAGAGAAACAAGUGGUUGGCAACAUUCAUCUCUCGAGGAGGGGUGUCUAACUCGGUGUUACAGUGUAUUUGACUCUAAACUAGUUUUACGCCAGAAUAUUCCUUUAACCACCAUCAGGGACACUUUUAAGAUCAUUUUAAAUUUCAAGGCAUCAAGACAGACGUUUCACCCAAACUUGUCAGGACUUUUCCCAUCAGCCCCUGUAACAUUUAAAAAAAAAAAAAGGUGCAAAACCACAAUUUCUUUUCUUCUCAUGGAGGCUCGUCAGCAGCAGAGUCCAGCUCUGUCUUUAGGUAUCCAGGUCAUCUGGCUAAUAUACUGACUGAGUGCUACCCCAACAAUGUCAGCCUUUGUUAACUUUGGAGGGCUAAGCCUGACCUCUGACAGUAAACACACCAGGGUGGAAACCAUCACCAUGGCGAUGGUGUGGACCCCCUGCCAGUGCCAGGGGCCAGUUGGGCCCUCAUGUCCUGCCUUGUCAACCCCUUCUCUGGUACAUGGGAGGUCCCUAAGGGUCGGAUCUCCCCCCCGCUGCCCCUUCAGGAGCUGACCCCUAGGUCCGGGACCUGCCUGGGACGAGGGGUGUCCUUGGCUCCUGGGCCUAUAAAAAGGAUCUUGAAAGAGGACUUUGGAGAGGGGUUAUGAGGUGUAACUGUCUCUGUGUUUGGAGGAUAUUCUUACGAGGACAGUCUGACUACAAAGGGGCCAAUAAGAGAGACGGGCGUAAAUCACUUUUAUGAAUGGUUACUUUUUUUUAUCGUUUACUGCUUCUUUUAGGGCGUGUGCACAAAACAAACAAAAGUACGGUGGCCCUGAAGUGCAAAAAAUUACAAAUCACAGAGAAAGCUUACAUAACACAAAGAAAACAAAACAAAUCCGGAAUAUAUAAACAAACCAGAAAAAAAAGGUAAAGUCAUAAAACAAACAAAUCUCAAAACCUGAAAAGUCACAAAAACGAGCAACAAAACACACAACAACAACAACAAAAAAAUAAAAAAAAAACAACAACAAACCACAAAAUAAACAAAGGUACGGUGGCCCUGAAGUGCAAAAAAGUACAUAUCACAAUGAUAGCUUAAAUAACACCAAGAAAAAAUUACAAAAAAACAAAUCAUGAAUAAAUUAACAAAUUAAACAUAGAAACAUAUAAAACAAAACAAAUCACGAACAAAUUAACAAAACAUGGAAAUCAUUAAACAAAACAAAUCACAAAACCUGAUAAGUCACAGAUACGAACAACAAAACACAAAAACAGCAUAAAAGGUUAAUAAAAAAAAUCAACAAAUAGAAAAAAAAUCUCCAAACAAAACAAAAAAAAAUGUAAACAACAAAUCACAAAACAGACAAAGGCACAGUGGCCAUGAAGUGCAAAAAAGUAAAUAUAACAACGAUAGCUUACAUAACAC